This 271-nucleotide ribosomal RNA is filed under the name uncultured bacterium. RNAcentral's name for it is "partial 16S ribosomal RNA". It matches the Rfam family "Bacterial small subunit ribosomal RNA", at positions 29 to 289 of the family's 1533-position model. The record is from RNAcentral.
AUGAACGCUGGCGGCGUGCCUAAUACAUGCAAGUCGAGCGAACAGAUAAGGAGCUUGCUCCUUUGACGUUAGCGGCGGACGGGUGAGUAACACGUGGGUAACCUACCUAUAAGACUGGGACAACUUCGGGAAACCGGAGCUAAUACCGGAUAAUAUGUUGAACCGCAUGGUUCAAUAGUGAAAGAUGGUUUUGCUAUCACUUAUAGAUGGACCCGCGCCGUAUUAGCUAGUUAGUGAGGUAACGGCUCACCAAGGCAACGAUACGUAGCCG